This is a long non-coding RNA of Canis lupus familiaris (dog), 2360 nucleotides long. RefSeq lists it as uncharacterized. The record is from RefSeq and is a predicted model, not a curated record. NCBI's taxonomy places the organism in Eukaryota, Metazoa, Chordata, Mammalia, Carnivora, Canidae. The transcript is spliced from 4 exons.
AAACUAAGCUCAUCACCACUGCUCAGAUGAGUCACUGACCACCCCUGUGGUGGGAUCUCCACCUUCACCCUCUACCACCACUCCCCUAAACAGCCCUUGGGAGAGGUGGCAAGUCCUGAGAAGCACCUUGCCAUGGCCCCCAGCCCCCGUGACCCAGGCACACAGUGAGGGUCAGAGGAACAGAAAGAAAGGACAAGGACAACUUUGGGUUGAGCGACCACAGGCUGGGAUGCAGGCCCGGGGCAGCCUGGAUAACUGAAGGGAGGGUGCAGGCUGGGUGCCUGGGGCUGACUGCUCGUGGCUUGGUCCACAUGAGCACCACAUUCUGCCUACAUUUUUCCUAUGAAGGUGUUUCUUCCCCCAUGGGUGUGCCUGGAUCAUCAUCAUCCCAGGACAAUAGAGAUUCUUCUGAGGAACCUUCAGGAGCUUCAUGAAAUAAGUGAGUGGUUCCAGGCUACCCUCCUGACGGCCCCACCAAAGGCCAAGGCCUGCAGCACUACAGAGCUGAGGAGCCCUCAUCUGCCCUGGCUCAGGGGCCUCUGGGAAGCAAAGCGGGGGUGAAAGACAGCGGAAACAAGACACCCACCAGAACCUAGGGCUUCCCAUGUCCUCACUACCAGCACGAGGGAACCACACAGAACCCCACAAACACGGGGGCAGGGCGGGGCCGUCACAUGCUUCCGUCAUGGUGGGGGCCCCUGCCUCUACCCUUGGUCCCACCCCAGUCGGGCCCCACGAUCCAAGGGUUCUCAGACGCCAAGUGCCUCUAAUGGGGCAUUUACUCCACACCCCAAACCUUUCUGCACCGUUGCUGUUUUUCUGUAAAUUAUUUGUACUUACUAAUUGGCAACAAAAUAUAAAAUAUCACACUUGAAAAAUGAAGUUGGUUGCUUCCUAUGAGACAGUAUCCACAGGAAAAAAGAAAAAAGCUGCAUGAAAACGUACUUGAGAAAACAUGCAGCUGGUGUGGGGGGCGGGAGAGGGGGGUCCUCUGUCCUCCCCGGUACAUUGGCUCUGCAUAAACCACGCAGCCCCUCACCUGGUUUGGUGUACCGUGGCCAGGUGCUCUUAGGGGUCGUCAGCCAUGUACACUUGGGGUACACACGCUGCCUCUGCCUUGGCCUAGGAAGAAAAGACAUGGUCACAGCUUCACCUUCACUGCUUGAUCUCUGCAGGGACUAUGGAAACAAAACUGUGGGGAAGAGAAGGGAGGGGAAGAGUGGUGGUACUUCCACCAGCGUGACCAGGACAGAAAGCAAAUGGUGUCAACAACACAACAGAAGCAUUGCCAGAAAAAAAAAAAAAAAAAAAAAAAGGAACCACUGCCAGACAAAACUAGAAACUGUAUAAUCUAAAUAACCAAACCACCAGAGAAAGAAAAAAAAAACCCAGCAAAUUUACAGUCCAGCAAAAUGGCAGGAAAUACAGAUAAAAAGGAAACAAAAAUUGAAAACUAAAAAUAAAGACCAGGAGGAAAGCAAAUGUGUAGGGACCCGGCGGACUCAAGUGAGCUGGCUUCCCUGUGGGCCAGGCUGCACAAAUGUGAUGCCAGCUGAGCAAAGAGGAUGAAGGGCAGGUCUGUCAUAAGAAACAAGACAAGGCAGAAGUGUGAAGCGAUGGCAAAGGUGGGCCAAGCAGAAGCAAACAAGUGGAGCUGGUGAGGACAGGCACAACAUCCAGCCCAAGAUAGUCCAGGUGACCCAGAGGAAUGUUUUAAAUGUGAAAAUGUUUUUCAUCAAUAUUCCAAAAGAAGACAUAAAGUCCAAAACCCUGUGUCCUGAAUAACUUAACACCAAAGAUAAAAGCAAAAACCAUUCGCAAAGAAAAAAAGUCCUCCAUCUACACGUUAGACAGCAUCUAGAACUCCUAACUCUACGACAGCUCAAAGAAGAAGAAACAGAUGGCUGGUGGAUUGAGGCACAUAGGUGCUUGGAGGGCAGUGGAACAACUUGGAGGUAAUGCAAAUGGGAAUACCUGCUGCCACGCAAUUUCACUAGAAAUGACCACACAGAUGCAGGGAGACUACAGCCAACACCUGUCCCCUAGGGUAAGCGCAUUCCCCUUGUAUACCAGGGUGUGGAAAAUGGUGCCUAGAACCUAGCCAUGCAGAACUGGGUGGUGUGACACGCCAGCAAAACUCUGUGGUGCCGGGGAACAAGAUGUGUGUGCAGAGGACCCCACACAGGUGCAGCAAGCUGUCCUGAAUGGUUAUCUUUGGCAGGCGGAGGUGUCAAAGGAGACAAUUCUCCUUCUAAAUUGCCUCAAUUUUGGGAUGCCUGGGUGGCUCAGCGGUUGGGCAUCUGCCUUGGGCUCAGGACGUGGUCCCGGAGUUCCGGGAUCUAGUCCCGCUUCGGGCUCCU